Long non-coding RNA from Gadus macrocephalus (Pacific cod), 571 nucleotides. RefSeq lists it as uncharacterized. The record is from RefSeq and is a predicted model, not a curated record. The transcript has 2 exons. NCBI's taxonomy places the organism in Eukaryota, Metazoa, Chordata, Actinopteri, Gadiformes, Gadidae.
AACCACGUGGUCAACAGGCUAACUGUGGUCACCAGGCUAACAGGCUAACCGCCUGGUCCACCAGGCUAACUGUGGUCACCAGGCUAACAGGCUAACCGCCUGGUCCACCAGGCUAACUGGCUAACAGGCUAACCGCGUGGUACUGUCCUCACGGUAAGAAGCGGAGCAGCUGUUCCUGACCCCCCUCACCUCUCAAGGCUAGAGAACGGACAAGCCGCUGACCCCCAAUCAAUCAAAUCUCAAUCAGAUCGGCAGCUGUCACUGAGACUCCGGCCACGGAGUGGGCGGAACCCCGCCCACUUAUGUUCUACUGUACAGUCUGGAGACCCCCAGACCCCCCCCCCCCCCCCCCCCAGGGGUAGACCCCCUGCUACCCCCAGGUAGUCUGACCCCCCCGGGUGGAGACCCCCAGGGGGAGGCCUUGUGAAGCCUCCUCACGAGGCUCUGAGUGGUCCUUUGCUGUCGGUUGUAAAUGUCGUUGUUUGUACAUUAACGAUGCUUUCUAUGUUCAUAUCUUGUUUAACUUUACCAUGAGCUGGCAAAGUAAUAAAAUUAUAUUUAUUUUAAAAUA